Molecule: ribosomal RNA, 439 nt
Filed under: Polaromonas sp. BAC191P
Lineage: Bacteria; Pseudomonadati; Pseudomonadota; Betaproteobacteria; Burkholderiales; Comamonadaceae
Description: bacterial SSU rRNA
Rfam family: Bacterial small subunit ribosomal RNA
Source: RNAcentral
AGAACCGUAACACAGGUGCUGCAUGGCUGUCGUCAGCUCGUGUCGUGAGAUGUUGGGUUAAGUCCCGCAACGAGCGCAACCCUUGUCAUUAGUUGCUACAUUUAGUUGGGCACUCUAAUGAGACUGCCGGUGACAAACCGGAGUAAGGUGGGAAUGACGUCAAGUCCUCAUGGCCCUUAUAGGUAGGGCUACACACGUCAUACAAUGGAUGGUACAGAGGGUUGCCAACCCGCGAGGCGGAGCUAAUCCCAUAAAACCAUUCGUAGUCCGGAUCGCAGUCUGCAACUCGACUGCGUGAAGUCGGAAUCGCUAGUAAUCGCGGAUCAGAAUGUCGCGGUGAAUACGUUCCCGGGUCUUGUACACACCGCCCGUCACACCAUGGGAGCGGGUUCUGCCAGAAGUAGUUAGCCUAACCGCAGGNAGUGCGAUUACCACGGCA